This 885-nucleotide ribosomal RNA is filed under the name uncultured Lactobacillus sp. Its description in RNAcentral is "bacterial SSU rRNA". It matches the Rfam family "Bacterial small subunit ribosomal RNA", at positions 628 to 1512 of the family's 1533-position model. The record is from RNAcentral. Lineage: Bacteria; Bacillati; Bacillota; Bacilli; Lactobacillales; Lactobacillaceae.
GGAAACUGGAUAACUUGAGUGCAGAAGAGGGUAGUGGAACUCCAUGUGUAGCGGUGGAAUGCGUAGAUAUAUGGAAGAACACCAGUGGCGAAGGCGGCUACCUGGUCUGCAACUGACGCUGAGACUCGAAAGCAUGGGUAGCGAACAGGAUUAGAUACCCUGGUAGUCCAUGCCGUAAACGAUGAGUGCUAGGUGUUGGAGGGUUUCCGCCCUUCAGUGCCGGAGCUAACGCAUUAAGCACUCCGCCUGGGGAGUACGACCGCAAGGUUGAAACUCAAAGGAAUUGACGGGGGCCCGCACAAGCGGUGGAGCAUGUGGUUUAAUUCGAAGCUACGCGAAGAACCUUACCAGGUCUUGACAUCUUGCGCCAACCCUAGAGAUAGGGCGUUUCCUUCGGGAACGCAAUGACAGGUGGUGCAUGGUCGUCGUCAGCUCGUGUCGUGAGAUGUUGGGUUAAGUCCCGCAACGAGCGCAACCCUUGUUACUAGUUGCCAGCAUUAAGUUGGGCACUCUAGUGAGACUGCCGGUGACAAACCGGAGGAAGGUGGGGACGACGUCAGAUCAUCAUGCCCCUUAUGACCUGGGCUACACACGUGCUACAAUGGACGGUACAACGAGUCGCGAACUCGCGAGGGCAAGCAAAUCUCUUAAAACCGUUCUCAGUUCGGACUGCAGGCUGCAACUCGCCUGCACGAAGUCGGAAUCGCUAGUAGUCGCGGAUCAGCAUGCCGCGGUGAAUACGUUCCCGGGCCUUGUACACACCGCCCGUCACACCAUGAGAGUUUGUAACACCCAAAGUCGGUGGGGUAACCUUUUAGGAGCCAGCCGCCUAAGGUGGGACAGAUGAUUAGGGUGAAGUCGUAACAAGGUAGCCGUAGGAGAACC